UGGGGAAUAUUGCACAAUGGGCGCAAGCCUGAUGCAGCCAUGCCGCGUGUGUGAAGAAGGCCUUCGGGUUGUAAAGCACUUUCAGCGAGGAGGAAGGUGGUGAGCUUAAUACGCUCAUCAAUUGACGUUACUCGCAGAAGAAGCACCGGCUAACUCCGUGCCAGCAGCCGCGGUAAUACGGAGGGUGCAAGCGUUAAUCGGAAUUACUGGGCGUAAAGCGCACGCAGGCGGUUUGUUAAGUCAGAUGUGAAAUCCCCGGGCUCAACCUGGGAACUGCAUUUGAAACUGGCAAGCUAGAGUCUCGUAGAGGGGGGUAGAAUUCCAGGUGUAGCGGUGAAAUGCGUAGAGAUCUGGAGGAAUACCGGUGGCGAAGGCGGCCCCCUGGACGAAGACUGACGCUCAGGUGCGAAAGCGUGGGGCAGCAAACAGGAUUAGAUACCCUGGUAGUCCACGCUGUAAAACGAUGUCGAUUUUGGAGGUUGUGCCCCUUGAGGCGUGGCUUCCGGAGCUAACGCGUUAAAUCGACCGCCUGGGGAGUACGGCCGCAAGGUUAAAACUUAAAUGAAUUGAC
This 571-nucleotide ribosomal RNA is filed under the name uncultured bacterium. RNAcentral's name for it is "partial 16S ribosomal RNA". It matches the Rfam family "Bacterial small subunit ribosomal RNA", at positions 355 to 914 of the family's 1533-position model. The record is from RNAcentral.